AAUGGAAUGGCUGGGUCAUAUGGUAACUCUAUAUUUAACAUUUUAAGGGACUGCCAAACUUUUCCAAACUGACUGCAGCAUUUUACAAUCCCACCAGCAAU
This 101-nucleotide microRNA precursor is filed under the name Marmota monax (woodchuck). The record is from RNAcentral. Lineage: Eukaryota; Metazoa; Chordata; Mammalia; Rodentia; Sciuridae.